This 2889-nucleotide ribosomal RNA is filed under the name Bryobacterales bacterium. RNAcentral's name for it is "bacterial LSU rRNA". It matches the Rfam family "Bacterial large subunit ribosomal RNA". The record is from RNAcentral. Lineage: Bacteria; Pseudomonadati; Acidobacteriota; Terriglobia; Bryobacterales.
UCAAGCUACUAAGGGCGCAUGGUGGAUGCCUUGGCAGAAGACGGCGAAGAAAGACGUGGCAAGCUGCGAUAAGCUUCGGGGAGCCGCAAGCAGGCAUUGAUCCGGAGAUCUCUGAAUGGGGAAACCCAUAGGGGCAAAACCCCUAUACGGCCUGACGAAUCCAUAGUCGGGUGCGAGCGAACCCAGGGAAGUGAACCAUCUCAGUACCUGGAGGAAAAGAAAGAAACCUCGAUUGCGAUAGUAGUGGCGAGCGAAAUCGCAACAGCCUAAACCUGCUUCACCUUCGGGUGACACAGGGGUUGUAGGGCCAGCAACAGUAGAGUUACCAAUCCGGUGGUUAGUCGAAGCCCUCUGGAAAGAGGGGCCAUAGAGUGUGAUAGCCACGUAGACGAAAAUCAUCCGGACUCGAAGCUGGUACCUGAGUAUCGCGGGGCACGAGAAACCCUGCGAGAAGCUACGGGGACCAUCCCGUAAGGCUAAAUACGUGUCUCUGACCGAUAGUGAACCAGUACCGUGAGGGAAAGGUGAAAAGAACCCCUUCGAGGGGAGUGAAAUAGUACCUGAAACCGUGUGCCUACAAACGGUGGGAGGACUAUGCGGCGCAAGCCGAAAGUCUGACCGCGUGCCUAUUGCAUAAUGAGCCGGCUAGUUAUUCUUGUCAGCAAGGUUAAGCGAAAGCGAGCCGUAGCGAAAGCGAGUCCGAAUAGGGCGAAUCAGUUGGCAGGAAUAGACGCGAAGCGGGAUGAUCUACCCUUGGCCAGGAUGAAGUUAGGGUAAAACCUAAUGGAGGUCCGAACGGCUGUUUGUUGAAAAAAGCUCCGAUGAGCUGAGGGUAGGGGUGAAAGGCUAAUCAAAUUCCGUGAUAGCUCGUUCUCUCCGAAAUAGCUUUAGGGCUAGCCUCUCGUGGUCCGUCGCGGUGGUAGAGAACUGAUUGGACUAGGGGCCUUCCCAGGUUACCGAAUCCAACCAAACUGCGAAUGCCGUGAAUGUGUAGCGAGGGAGUCAGACAGUGGGGGCUAAGCUUCAUUGUCGAAAGGGAAACAGCCCAGACCGUCAACUAAGGUCCCCAAAUCCAUGCUCAGUGGGAAAGGAAGUCGGGACGCUCAGACAGCCAGGAGGUUGGCUUAGAAGCAGCCAUCCUUUAAAGAAAGCGUAAUAGCUCACUGGUCGAGCGGCCCGGUGCCGACAAUAUAACGGGGCUUAAGCAUGGUACCGAAGUUACGGAUUCGUCUAGCUUGCUAGGCGAAUGGUAGGAGAGCGUUCUCAACAGCUGUGAAGGUCGAGCGAAAGCACGGCUGGAGCGUUGGGAAGUGACUCUGCCAGCAUAAGUAGCGAGAAACCAGGUGCGAACCCUGGUCGCCGUAAGUCUAAGGAUUCCUGAGAAAGGUUAAUCCGCUCAGGGUUAGUCGGAGCCUAACGCGAGGCCGAAAGGCGUAGCGGAUGGACAGCAGGUUAAUAUUCCUGCACUACCUUGUUUCGAUCAAGACCGAUGGGGGGACGCAGACUCAAGCUCGGCCGGGGUAAUGGUUUCUCCGGUUGGGGGAGAGGAGAUCCGGAUAGGCAAAUCCGCCGGGUCGUCUGCCAGGAAAAGCCCCUAAGGAGAAGUAAGGUAUCCGUACCACAAACCGACACAGGUGGACGUGAAGAAUAUUCUAAGGCGCUCGGGUGAUGGUAGGUUCAGGAACUAGGCACAUUAGCUCCGUAACUUCGGGAGAAGGAGUGCUCUUGGCAACAAGAGCCGCAGUGAAUCGUCUCAGGCGACUGUUUAACAAAAACACAGGUCUCUGCAAAGUCGAAAACGACGUAUAGGGGCUGACGCCUGCCCGGUGCCGGAAGGUUAAAGGGAGAGGUUAGCCGCAAGGCGAAGCUUUGAACUGAAGCCCCGGUGAACGGCGGCCGUAACUAUAACGGUCCUAAGGUAGCGAAAUUCCUUGUCGGGUAAGUUCCGACCUGCACGAAUGGCGUAACGAUCUGAGAACUGUCUUAACCUGCCGCCCGGCGAACUUGUGGUCCCGGUGAAGACGCCGGGUGCCCGCCACUAGACGGAAAGACCCCGUGCACCUUUACUAUACCCUUUCAUGGAACUAUGGGGCCAUCUGCGCAGGAUAGGUGGGAGGCUUUGAAGCCGGAUUCUCGGAUUCGGCUGAGCCAACGGUGAGAUACCACCCUGAUGGUUCUGUGGUUCUAACCUACUCGACUGAAUCGUCGAGAGGGACAGUGGAAGGCGGGUAGUUUGACUGGGGCGGUCGCCUCCUAAAUUGUAACGGAGGCGCGCGAAGCUUGGUUCAGGCGGCUUGGAAAUCCGCCGACGAGUGCAAAAGCAUAAACCAGGUUAACUGCGAGACCAACAAGUCGAGCAGGUACGAAAGUAGGCUUUAGUGAUCCGGUGGUUCUGUAUGGAAGGGCCAUCGCUCAACGGAUAAAAGGUACGCCGGGGAUAACAGGCUGAUCGGAGUCAAGAGUUCACAUCGACGCUCCGGUUUGGCACCUCGAUGUCGGCUCAUCGCAUCCUGGGGGUGUAGAAGCUCCCAAGGGUUAGGCUGUUCGCCUAUUAAAGCGGUACGUGAGCUGGGUUCAGAACGUCGCGAGACAGUUCGGUCCCUAUCUGUGGUGGGCGUAGGAGAUUUGAGGGGGCCUGCCCUUAGUACGAGAGGACCGGGGUGGACGAACCUCUUGUGAUCCAGUUGUCCCGCCAGGGGCAUCGCUGGGUAGCGAAGUUCGGUCAGGAUAAACGCUGAAGGCAUAUAAGCGUGAAACCUUCCCCAAGAUGAGAUCUCCCAAGCGUAAGCUUUGAAGGGCACAGGUAGACUACCUGUUUGAUAGGACGGAUGUGUAAGCUGGGUGACCAGUUGAGCUUACCGUUACUAAUCGCCCGUUCGGCUUGACCAU